This 2016-nucleotide long non-coding RNA is filed under the name Anthonomus grandis grandis. RNAcentral describes it as "uncharacterized LOC126749619". Lineage: Eukaryota; Metazoa; Arthropoda; Insecta; Coleoptera; Curculionidae. The record is from RNAcentral.
AUAAUUAUCAAAAUUGAAAAAAUUAAAGUUUUUGAGAAAAAUUGAAAUUUCUGUUUUUUACCAUUAACAUAUACUUUAUAAGAUCGUAAAUUUUGCAUAACUUUUUUGUUAUUAAAGAUAGAGGUUUCAUUUAAAAACAGUCAAGUACUCCUAGCGAAGGGGCACCUUGCACAUAAAUAUCAAAAUUUAAAAAAUUAUAGUUUUUGAGAAAAAUCGAAAUUUCUGUUUUUUACCAUUAACAUAUACUUUAUAAGAUCGUAAAUUUUGCAUAACUUUUUUGUUAUUAAAGAUAGAGCUUUCAUUUAAAAACUGCCAAGCACUCCUAGCGAAGGGGCACCUUGCACAUAAUUAUCAAAAUUGAAAAAAUUAUAGUUUUUGAGAAAAAUCGAAAUUUCGAUUUUUUACAAUUAACAUGUACUUUUUUAGAUUGUAAAUUUUGCAUAACUUUUUUGUUAUUAAAGAUAGAGGUUUCGUUUAAAAACAGUCAAGUACUCCUAGCGAAGGGGCACCUUGCACAUAAAUAUCAAAAUUUAAAAAAUUAUAGUUUUUGAGAAAAAUCGAAAUUUCGGUUUCUUUACAAUUAACAUGUACUUUUUUAGAUCGAAAAUUUUGCAUAACUUUUUUGUUAUUAAAGAUAGAGGUUUCAUUUAAAAACAGUCAAGUACUCCUAGCGAAGGGGCACCUUGCACAUAAUUAUCAAAAUUAAAAAAAUUAUAGUUUUUGAGAAAAAUCGAAAUUUCGAUUUUUUACAAUUAACAUGUACUUUUUUAGAUCGAAAAUUUUGCAAACUUUUUUGUUAUUAAAGAUAGAGGUUUCAUUUAAAAACAGUCAAGUACUCCUAGCGAAGGGGCACCUUGCACAUAAAUAUCAAAAUUGAAAAAAUUAAAGUUUUUGAGAAAAAUCGAAAUUUCGAUUUUUUACAAUUCACAUGUACUUUUUUAGAUCGAAAAUUUUGCAAACUUUUUUGUUAUUAAAGAUAGAGGUUUCAUUUAAAAACAGUCAAGUACUCCUAGCGAAGGGGCACCUUGCACAUAAUUAUCAAAAUUUAAAAAAUUAUAGUUUUUGAGAAAAAUCGAAAUUUCGAUUUUUUACAAUUAACAUGUACUUUUUUAGAUCGAAAAUUUUGCAUAACUUUUUUGUUAUUAAAGAUAGAGGUUUCAUUUAAAAACAGUCAAGUACUCCUAGCGAAGGGGCACCUUGCACAUAAUUAUCAAAAUUGAAAAAAUUAUAGUUUUUGAGAAAAAUCGAAAUUUCGAUUUUUUACAAUUAACAUGUACUUUUUUAGAUCGUAAAUUUUGCAAACUUUUUUGUUAUUAAAGAUAGAGGUUUCAUUUAAAAACAGUCAAGUACUCCUAGCGAAGGGGCACCUUGCACAUAAUUAUCAAAAUUGAAAAAAUUAUAGUUUUUGAGAAAAAUCGAAAUUUCGAUUUUUUACAAUUAACAUGUACUUUUUUAGAUCGUAAAUUUUGCAUAACUUUUUUGUUAUUAAAGAUAGAGGUUUCAUUUAAAAACAGUCAAGUACUCCUAGCGAAGGGGCACCUUGCACAUAAUUAUCAAAAUUGAAAAAAUUAUAGUUUUUGAGAAAAAUCGAAAUUUCGAUUUUUUACAAUUAACAUGUACUUUUUUAGAUCGUAAAUUUUGCAUAACUUUUUUGUUAUUAAAGAUAGAGGUUUUAUUUAAAAACUGUCAAGUACUCCUAGCGAAGGGGCACCUUAUACGUAAUAAUAAAAAACUAAAAAAGUUGUAGUUUUUGAAGAAAAUCGAAAUUUUGGUUUUUUACCAUUAACGUGUACUUUAUUAGAUCGAACAUUUUGCAUAACUUUUUUAUUUGUACAAGGUCCCUAGGUACUAUAAUGAGCUAGACAAGGAUAUUAUUAUUAAAUUAAGUAUACUUACCGCAUAUUCUUUUGUAAGGAGAAAGAGGGGAUAAAUAAAAUUUUCCUUUGUGAUAUUUAAUAAGUACCAUUUAUUGUAUCCAAUAGACUGUUAGGAAUAGAACGCUUUGAAUCUUUAUAG